RNAcentral lists this ribosomal RNA (1068 nucleotides) under Triticum aestivum (bread wheat). Its description in RNAcentral is "partial small subunit ribosomal RNA". Lineage: Eukaryota; Viridiplantae; Streptophyta; Magnoliopsida; Poales; Poaceae. The record is from RNAcentral.
AUGUCCGAUGUAGUGAAGUUGAGAUUUUACUAUGGUCCUGGUAUUGUCCAAACAAAUGAGUUGGGAGCAGAUCUGAGUGAAUUUACUCACAUAGAGGUUGCAAUCAGCGCACCACAAACAUGGUCUGUUAGUCAGUUGAAAGAAUGGAUUGCGGCAAGUUUAGGUCUUAAUACUGAAACACACACCGUUGGUGUUCAUGCAUUGUGGACACGGUCAAGUUCAAAAAUUUACUUUUAUUUGAGGCCAAUAGAGGGAGACUCCGAUUGGGUGCGGUGGUUACAAGGUUGUGAACGAAGGGGAUGCAAUCCUGUUGCUUUAGUGCUUCCCGUCGUGAAGGAGGUCACUGCAUAUGAAGGGGAGGGUGGCUACGAAGGACAGAGCAGUCAUGUUGAAGGAGGAAAUGCUUAUGGUUACGACCAAGGACAGAGCAGUCAGGUAGAAGGAGGAAAUGCUUAUGGUUAUGAACCAGGGCAGAGUAGUCAGGUAGAAGGAGCAAAUGCCGAUGGUGAUUACAAUGGCGAGGUGGAUGCUGACGAGGUAGAUGGGCACAUGCAGAACCAGAUGGAAGAAGAAGACACCGAUGUUGAAAGGGGUCAUGCCGAUGAUUCUGACGAGUCAGAUGAAGAAGAAAAUGCAGAGGAGGUCCCGAAUCCUGCAUGGUGGAAUCAUGACUUAUCAUCUGCAAUGACCGUGAAUGAUGGACAUGAUUCAGCCUGGCAAUAUCACCAGAACAAUAUUGCGACGGGUGCUAUGUAUCCGAACAAGCAAGCCCUGAAGGAUGCAAUAAUUAAUUGGGCAAUGUCCACGCAAAGGGUUUUCAAAGCUGAGGUGUCCAGUCAGAAAUUCCUCACAAUGGUAUGCAAGAAUGCAGAUUGUCCCGCAAGGGUGCACGGCUUUCUCCCUAAGUAUGGCACAAGUUGGGUGAUAAGUGACUUAAUUAAUCACACUUGUCUUAUUCCCUGCAUCCCUCAAGAUCAUGCCAACCUUUCAUCCACGCUUAUUGCUCGACUGUUUUACGAUGAGAUAGUGCAAGGCAAAGCUAUGGAAUGUCGGGAUUGUGGUUGCUGA